This 244-nucleotide ribosomal RNA is filed under the name uncultured Eubacteriales bacterium. RNAcentral describes it as "uncultured Clostridiales bacterium partial 16S ribosomal RNA". It matches the Rfam family "Bacterial small subunit ribosomal RNA", at positions 796 to 1041 of the family's 1533-position model. Lineage: Bacteria; Bacillati; Bacillota; Clostridia; Eubacteriales. The record is from RNAcentral.
CACGCCGUAAACGAUGAAUGCUAGGUGUUGGGGGUCAAACCUCGGUGCCGAAGUUAACACAUUAAGCAUUCCGCCUGGGGAGUACGGUGGCAACACUGAAACUCGAAGGAAUUGACGGGGACCCGCACAAGCAGCGGAGCAUGUGGUUUAAUUCGAUGCAACGCGAAGAACCUUACCAGGGCUUGACAUAUAUGCGCUAGCACUAGAGAUAGUGGUUUCUCUUCGGAGACGUAUAUACAGGUGG